UUAUUUUGCCUCUUUUUCUCCAAUUCCAAAAGUUUCAUGUACUGUGAACUUUUUCCCUCACAUCUCUCCUUAUAAAUCAAAAACCUAAUUUUUAUCUUUCUAAUAUUCCACUAAGGCAUAACUUAUUAUUAACUUACAUUAUUUAUUUUAAUUCUCCGUAAUUCUCAUUUUCCACCUCAAAAUCAUUAUUUCCUUUUAUUUUAUUAUUUCAUUUAAAUAAUAACACUAAAACAUUAUUUUAAUCAAUUAAAUAAUUCUAAAUAAAUCUACCAACC
This 275-nucleotide long non-coding RNA is filed under the name Lathyrus oleraceus (garden pea). RNAcentral's name for it is "Pisum sativum (pea) long non-coding RNA (PSAT_LNC037162)". Lineage: Eukaryota; Viridiplantae; Streptophyta; Magnoliopsida; Fabales; Fabaceae. The record is from RNAcentral.